Molecule: ribosomal RNA, 607 nt
Filed under: uncultured Methanoculleus sp.
Lineage: Archaea; Methanobacteriati; Methanobacteriota; Methanomicrobia; Methanomicrobiales; Methanomicrobiaceae
Description: bacterial SSU rRNA
Rfam family: Archaeal small subunit ribosomal RNA
Source: RNAcentral
GGGGGAGCACCACAACAGGUGGAGCCUGCGGUUUAAUUGGACUCAACGCCGGGAAGCUCACCGGAUAAGACAGCAGAAUGAUUGCCGGGCUGAAGACUCUGCAUGACUAGCUGAGAGGAGGUGCAUGGCCGUCGUCAGUUCGUACUGUGAAGCAUCCUGUUAAGUCAGGCAACGAGCAAGACCCACGCCAACAGUUGCCAGCAUGGUCUCCGGACUGAUGGGGACACUGUUGGGACCGCCUCUGCUAAAGAGGAGGAAGGAAUGGGCAACGGUAGGUCAGCAUGCCCCGAAUUAUCCGGGCUACACGCGGGCUACAAUGGGCAGGACAAUGGGCAUCGACACCGAAAGGUGAAGGCAAUCUCCUAAACCUGUCCUUAGUUCGGAUUGUGGGCUGCAACUCGCCCACAUGAAGCUGGAAUCUGUAGUAAUCGCGUUUCAAAAUAACGCGGUGAAUUUGUCCCUGCUCCUUGCACACACCGCCCGUCAAACCACCCGAGUGGGGUUUGGAUGAGGUUGCGGUUGUUGCCGCAGUCGAAUCUAGGUUCCGCAAGGGGGGUUAAGUCGUAACAAGGUAGCCGUAGGGGAAUCUGCGGCUGGAUCACCUCCU